GCAUAAUCACGGAGCAUAUGAUGGGACAUGCAGGCUCAGUCAGACUUCCCAUUUCUUGCGGUUUUACGCUGUAAUGUAUCAUCUGGUCCUUCGGUUUGGAGAAACUCACACAGAACAGGAAGUAAGAGACGAGACAUUCAGCAGCAGCUUGAGCUCUGCAGAGACAAAACUGCUCCGGGGGAUGUUCGAGAGACAUUCGGUGACUGGGGUACGACUUCGAGAACACGAUCGGGCAAGUAACUUUAUUCUAAAAAAGUUUUAUUUUCUCACACUGGGGACUUUAGGGAAUGCGAGUCCACUAUUGUGAUUUAGCCUGCUGCUUGUUUGUCCUUUGAGUUUUGCUGAAAAACCCUUUUGCAAACAUAUAAUGAAUUCCAAGUCCAACACGAUGAUAAACCAAGAUCUGUGAGAGAA
Gasterosteus aculeatus aculeatus (three-spined stickleback) is the source of this 414-nucleotide long non-coding RNA. The record is from Ensembl. Lineage: Eukaryota; Metazoa; Chordata; Actinopteri; Perciformes; Gasterosteidae.